CUACGGAGGGUGCAAGCGUUACUCGGAAUCACUGGGCGUAAAGCGCGCGCAGGCGGGCUGAUAAGUUGGAUGUGAAAGCCUACGGCUCAACCGUAGAACUGCAUCCAAAACUGUCAGUCUAGAGUGUGGGAGAGGAAGAUGGAAUUAGUUGUGUAGGGGUAAAAUCCGUAGAGAUAACUAGGAAUACCAAAAGCGAAGGCAAUCUUCUGGAACACUACUGACGCUGAGGCGCGAAGGCGUGGGGAGCAAACAGGAUUAGAAACCCCGGUAGUCC
Molecule: ribosomal RNA, 274 nt
Filed under: uncultured bacterium
Lineage: Bacteria
Description: partial 16S ribosomal RNA
Rfam family: Bacterial small subunit ribosomal RNA
Source: RNAcentral